Molecule: transfer RNA, 89 nt
Filed under: Corynebacterium lowii
Lineage: Bacteria; Bacillati; Actinomycetota; Actinomycetes; Mycobacteriales; Corynebacteriaceae
Description: tRNA-Lys
Source: RNAcentral
GCCGAAGUUGGCUGGGGCCUUCACGGUCUUGCUGUUUCUUAGGCAGCGAGCGCGCUCGUCAUGCUGCCGCUGAGUCGGUGCUCUAGCUC